AUUGAACGCUGGCGGCAUGCCUUACACAUGCAAGUCGAACGGCAGCACGGGUGCUUGCACCUGGUGGCGAGUGGCGAACGGGUGAGUAAUACAUCGGAACAUGUCCUGUAGUGGGGGAUAGCCCGGCGAAAGCCGGAUUAAUACCGCAUACGAUCUACGGAUGAAAGCGGGGGACCUUCGGGCCUCGCGCUAUAGGGUUGGCCGAUGGCUGAUUAGCUAGUUGGUGGGGUAAAGGCCUACCAAGGCGACGAUCAGUAGCUGGUCUGAGAGGACGACCAGCCACACUGGGACUGAGACACGGCCCAGACUCCUACGGGAGGCAGCAGUGGGGAAUUUUGGACAAUGGGCGAAAGCCUGAUCCAGCAAUGCCGCGUGUGUGAAGAAGGCCUUCGGGUUGUAAAGCACUUUUGUCCGGAAAGAAAUCCUUGGUUCUAAUAUAGCCGGGGGAUGACGGUACCGGAAGAAUAAGCACCGGCUAACUACGUGCCAGCAGCCGCGGUAAUACGUAGGGUGCGAGCGUUAAUCGGAAUUACUGGGCGUAAAGCGUGCGCAGGCGGUUUGCUAAGACCGAUGUGAAAUCCCCGGGCUCAACCUGGGAACUGCAUUGGUGACUGGCAGGCUAGAGUAUGGCAGAGGGGGGUAGAAUUCCACGUGUAGCAGUGAAAUGCGUAGAGAUGUGGAGGAAUACCGAUGGCGAAGGCAGCCUCCUGGGCCAAUACUGACGCUCAUGC
This 731-nucleotide ribosomal RNA is filed under the name uncultured beta proteobacterium. RNAcentral's name for it is "bacterial SSU rRNA". It matches the Rfam family "Bacterial small subunit ribosomal RNA", at positions 28 to 752 of the family's 1533-position model. Lineage: Bacteria; Pseudomonadati; Pseudomonadota; Betaproteobacteria. The record is from RNAcentral.